GACGAACGCUGGCGGCGCGCCUAACACAUGCAAGUCGAGCGAUGAAAUUUUUAUGAAGCCUUCGGGUAGAUUAAAAAUGGAUUAGCGGCGGACGGGUGAGUAACACGUGAGUAACCUGCCUUUGACAUGGGGAUAGCCUCGGGAAACCGGGAUUAAUACCCAAUGACAUUACCAAAUCGCAUGAUAUGGUAAUUAAAGUGCCUAGCGGUCAAAGAUGGACUCGCGUCUGAUUAAUUAGUUGGUGAGGUAACGGCUCACCAAGAUAACGAUCAGUAGCCGGCCUGAGAGGGUGAACGGCCACAUUGGAACUGAGAAACGGUCCAAACUCCUACGGGAGGCAGCAGUGGGGAAUAUUGCACAAUGGGGGAAACCCUGAUGCAGCGACGCCGCGUGAGCGAUGAAGGUUUUCGAAUCGUAAAGCUCUGUCCUAUGGGAAGAUAAUGACGGUACCAUAGGAGGAAGCCCCGGCUAACUACGUGCCAGCAGCCGCGGUAAUACGUAGGGGGCGAGCGUUGUCCGGAAUCACUGGGCGUAAAGGGUUCGCAGGCGGAAAAGCAAGUCAGGUGUGAAAGGCGGGGGCUCAACCCCCGUAAGCAUCUGAAACUGUUUUUCUUGAGAUAUGGAGAGGUAAGUGGAAUUCCUAGUGUAGCGGUGAAAUGCGUAGAUAUUAGGAGGAAUACCGGUGGCGAAGGCGACUUACUGGACAUAUACUGACGCUGAGGAACGAAAGCGUGGGGAGCAAACAGG
Molecule: ribosomal RNA, 747 nt
Filed under: uncultured bacterium
Lineage: Bacteria
Description: bacterial SSU rRNA
Rfam family: Bacterial small subunit ribosomal RNA
Source: RNAcentral